Long non-coding RNA from Myotis lucifugus (little brown bat), 561 nucleotides. RefSeq lists it as uncharacterized. Lineage: Eukaryota; Metazoa; Chordata; Mammalia; Chiroptera; Vespertilionidae. The transcript has 3 exons. The record is from RefSeq and is a predicted model, not a curated record.
GCCUCCGGCGCCGGGCGGGGCGCCAGUCCGCAGUCAACCAGGGGCCGCACGCGGGACUGCCCUGGGGACCGGUUCGCUGAGUCCGGGCCUCGCGUGCGGAGGACGCGGUCCCCGAACGACACUCGGGCUGCCACCCAAUCUCCCGUGUUCAGUACCCGGAGGACCGGUGCCUUCUUCCCGGCCGCUCACCUGGCCUCAGUUUCGCCAAAACCGGUUUCUUGGUCGUAGGCGACCCGGAGAGAAUCUUCAAGGAAAGGAAAAGCGAAGCUGUAGCCUGUGGCAAAGAUCACAGCAUCAAUGUCAUCCUCCCUGGAGCCGUCUUCAAAUAUGGCAGCGGUCUCCGUGAAUUCCUUGACAUUUCCCUUCACCUUCACCAAGCCAGAAAUUAUACGAUUUGGCAGGUCAUCAUUGACUGUUGGAUGCUGACUCAGAGCUCUAUUCCGUGACCACCUCCCAUUGGCCUGACGUGGGGAAAUCGGGCCGCUUUUUCACACUGCACACAGUGGUCUGCAAAGGAAAGUGAUAGCAACAGGGGACGGUAACCACAGCCUCUGCAGUGGA